RNAcentral lists this ribosomal RNA (402 nucleotides) under uncultured bacterium. Its description in RNAcentral is "bacterial SSU rRNA". It matches the Rfam family "Bacterial small subunit ribosomal RNA", at positions 355 to 774 of the family's 1533-position model. The record is from RNAcentral.
UGGGGAAUCUUGCACAAUGGGGGCAACCCUGAUGCAGCGACGCCGCGUGAGCGAUGAAGCCCUUCGGGGCGUAAAGCUCUUUCGACCGGAACGAUAAUGACGGUACCGGGAGAAGAAGCUGCGGCUAACUACGUGCCAGCAGCCGCGGUAAUACGUAGGCAGCAAGCGUUGUUCGGAGUUACUGGGCGUAAAGAGUGCGUAGGCGGUUUUCUAAGUUCGGUGUGAAAUCUCCCGGCUUAACUGGGAGGGUGCGCCGAAGACUGGGAAGCUGGAGUGCGGGAAAGGCAGGCGGAAUUCCUGGUGUAGCGGUGAAAUGCGUAGAUAUCAGGAGGAACACCGGCGGUGUAGACGGCUUGCUAAACCAUAACUGACGCUGAGGCACGAAAGCGUGGGUAGCAAACA